AAGACCUUGCGCUUUUGGAGCGGCCGAUGCCUGAUUAGCUUGUUGGUAAGGUAAAAGCUUACCAAGGCUUCGAUCAGUAGCUGGUCUGAGAGGACGGCCAGCCACACUGGGACUGAGACACGGCCCAGACUCCUACGGGAGGCAGCAGUGGGGAAUUUUGGACAAUGGGGGCAACCCUGAUCCAGCCAUGCCGCGUGAGUGAAGAAGGCCUUCGGGUUGUAAAGCUCUUUCAGCCGGAACGAAACGGUUACGGUUAAUACCCGUGAUUACUGACGGUACCGGAAGAAGAAGCACCGGCUAACUACGUGCCAGCAGCCGCGGUAAUACGUAGGGUGCGAGCGUUAAUCGGAAUUACUGGGCGUAAAGCGUGCGCAGGUGGUUUUGUAAGUCAGAUGUGAAAGCCCCGGGCUUAACCUGGGAACU
Molecule: ribosomal RNA, 423 nt
Filed under: uncultured bacterium
Lineage: Bacteria
Description: bacterial SSU rRNA
Rfam family: Bacterial small subunit ribosomal RNA
Source: RNAcentral